Molecule: long non-coding RNA, 858 nt
Filed under: Mytilus galloprovincialis (Mediterranean mussel)
Lineage: Eukaryota; Metazoa; Mollusca; Bivalvia; Mytilida; Mytilidae
Source: RNAcentral
CUCUCUUCAGUUGGACUAUUCCUACACCAAAUUUAUUUUGCUUUCUAAGCGAUGGUUUGAAGUUCCCAUAAAAUUAAGUAAACUUGUACAAAUAUAUGCAAUACAAGUAUUAUGAGUACAGAAUUUAAUGAAAACUCCAACAAUGUUGAAAGCAGUAGGGUUGGUGCUAAAGCAAGAUGCAAAUACAAUUAUGAUGUAAAACAUGAACUGAACUAAAAAGAAGUUGUUGUUUAAUGACUAUAUUGAGGGUAUUGGGACAGAGGGUGUUUGCUGUUUGUCAACAAAAAACAACAGCCAUGGGUAUUAAAGUCUAAGGAAUUGCUAUAAUAUUAAUGUUUUUCGACCCUUGUUUUAGCUCAAUAUACGGUCAUCAAUCUAACAAGUUCGUGCUGGUGUCAAUUCCUUAUAAUUUCUAUAAUCCUGACAUGUUUUUUUGUACCAAUGUGUUCAACGAUUCUUGCGCUUUCGAUAUCGUUGAAUUCAUAGUCCAAAUUUCCUGACACAAAGUCAUUGUAUAAAUGAUCAUAAAUAAAAAAAAAAACGGUUUUCUAAUGUGACAUAUCGCGAUUUGCGUUCUAGGACACAGCGUUCAACUCGUAUAAACCUGAAUAUUUCAUGCCCUUCUCGUAAACUAUAUCUAUUCUCGGUACAUGAUGUUGACAUCAUAGAGCUGCAGAAUAUGUUGACUUAAUCAUUUUCGUUAGAUAACUCGAAGAAAUACAAAACCGAAAUAUGAAACAGGAAGUUUUGAAUGAAACGAACAUAUCGAUGUUUACCGGUAACAGACAUGAACAAAAUCCGGAAAUCGUAAUUUUUCCAAAAUAAAAAAAAUCGGGGCGGGACGAUUUCAGAGGGGCG